Molecule: long non-coding RNA, 1213 nt
Organism: Manacus vitellinus (golden-collared manakin)
Lineage: Eukaryota; Metazoa; Chordata; Aves; Passeriformes; Pipridae
Exons: 3
Source: RefSeq, a predicted model, not a curated record
CUGUUUUUAAAUAUCUGUUCAGUUCCACUGGUACUUACUCCAUGGAGCUGUUGAUUUCUGUAUUGACUGUACAGACAGGAUCUGCCCAACUCUGUGUGCCCGUGAAGCACACGGUGGGACUUCCAGAUUGCACACACUCACAUCACGCAGGACGCGGGGCUGCAGGAACACAUCCCUCUGACGCACGAUGGCAGAACAGAAGAAGAUACUGCUGAGGCAGGACAUGGGGGUGGGGAGGUGAGGAAAUAAAGCAAACAAUGUUGAACUGCCUGACAUCUUAAAUGAAAGAAAAAACUGUCAGCCUGUGGGAAGUCACGAUUUAGUGUUGCAGCUCCUUGACAGGGUAUGACAAUUUAGGAUCAUCUGCAUAAAUCUAAGAUAUUGCUGAUAGCAGAAGUGGCUGAACUUGCUCAAACUUCCAAAGAAACUGAAUUGAAGUCGAGGGAGAGAAAUAGAGCAGGACGAAUAGGAGGGUGCCAGGCUGAUCACUACAACUGUUUAAAAUAGAAAAGCAGAUGGAACAAAUAGAAAGAUUUACCACACAGCUUGAUCUCUCCCCCUGAAGCAGCCAUUCAUCAUCAGCACCGCUGAGACAAACUGCGAAACAAGUUUCCCUUUGUGGCUGUGAUUGGGCUUGGAGAGGUGGCAGAGCUGCACGACAGCCUCAGGAUUGGCUGGGCGAGAACACACCUCUGGAGUCUGUUUAUUUCCCAAAAAUAAGAUAAAAUCUCUUAUAUUUCGCCUGGAGAUCUUUUAUCUUGCAUUUAAUAUCCAAAUAAACUAGAGCAAACACAGUUAACCUCUUUGGAACGGCUGUAGUACUUUAGAUGAGUGGAAUGAAUUCAGGUUUUGGGGGUUUUGUUUGUUGGGUUGUUUUUUUUUCUUUCUUAUUUUCUCCUGAGUACAAUGAGGCCUGUGUGAGUUGUCUAGAUCUGUUUGUAUUUUUCUGAGUGGUUAUAUAUGAUAUUCAAAAGCUUUCUUGUAUUUUAACUAGAGCUGAAAGUUGUUUUCUGACUUUAUAAUGUAUUGACUUCAGCUUAUAAUGAAAGUAGUUUUUCUUUUAAAGCAGUUUUUAUGUCUGUUCUGUAAAAUAUUUACACUUGCAGUACUAUCUUUCAUUGUUUUUGUAAAUAUCAAGUUGCUAUUUCUGAUCAUGUUUUAGAGAUCUAUGGCUUUUUAAAAAUUAUUUUAAUCAAUUUAAAUAGAUGUAGAA